Long non-coding RNA from Oreochromis aureus, 1061 nucleotides. The record is from Ensembl. NCBI's taxonomy places the organism in Eukaryota, Metazoa, Chordata, Actinopteri, Cichliformes, Cichlidae.
UUUUUAAAAGCGAAACGGAAAAUCUCCGUUUUCAAAAAUACCCGUGUACGUGUGGACGGUUUGCUCCGUUAUUCUGGUCCACACAUAAAUGCAAAAACGGAGUUUUCGAAAAUAUCCACCCUGGCAGGCGUUUUUAGACAUCUCCAUUUUCAGUGACCAAAAACGCUGUUUACGUGCAGACGAACGGUGCACACGCAAUUGGUAGUUGAGCGUGCAACGUAAAGUUGAGCGUGCAACGUAAAUUUGGGUGAGCGUGCAACGUAAAGUUUGAAUUGAGUGCGAAUUGAAGCGGGUGCUCUCCAGUCAUUAAAAGUAACAAAGUCAAACAAUGCACACACAUUCUGGAUGGAUCAUGUAUACCUGCUUCAUGUAUACAUCUACCUGCUUAGCACUUUUAAUUUUAAUUUUUAUGUUACUAAGCAACAAAUGAGCGAAAGUCUGGGUCAAGCGCCGAGGCGACGGCAAGAACAAAGGAAACCUCGAAGCGUUAAAGCUAGCUUUGUAAGGGAAUAUAACGAAGAAAUUAUGAAACGAAAAUGUUUUCUUUGUUGAUAUACUUUGUUCGCAGUGCAGUUUAUUUGUUGCUGGAUUGUAAGAAGUAGACACAAUUUCGGGCUCCCACAUUUUGUGGGAGCAACGUAAAUAACAGUAAAAAACUUGUUAAUGUACAACAUUAACGAUUUUUUUAAUGUUAUUAAAAUGCAAACAUGGAAAUAACGAGUAGAAAAAAAAUUCAUUCAUUCUUACCUUAUACUAAUUGUGGUGCGGGCCAGUGCAGUGCAUGAACUGAUGCCUUCUCCGGUCAAUUCCGCUGAGAGUAAAUCAAAUGUCCCGCUCUACUGUAGAAGACAAUGAAUACCUGGGGGGAUGUACCAAUGUGAGAGGGGUGCUGCGGAAUAGUCCAAGUGAUCGCUGCUUUAAUUUCCCGGUCAACUAUACAUAAAUUGCACGUAGACACGAUUUUUUAAAGCUGGUGAACUAGACCAAGUCAUUGAUAACAAGUGAACAAUAAAUCUACUUUCUCUGGUACUUUAUACCCGAUCAGUUGCAAUGCAAUUUAA